Molecule: ribosomal RNA, 253 nt
Filed under: uncultured bacterium
Lineage: Bacteria
Description: partial 16S ribosomal RNA
Rfam family: Bacterial small subunit ribosomal RNA
Source: RNAcentral
UACGUAGGGGGCAAGCGUUGUCCGGAUUUAUUGGGCGUAAAGAGCGUGUAGGCGGCUUGGCAAGUCCGCUGUGAAAACUCGAGGCUCAACCUCGAGACGUCGGUGGAAACUGCCUGGCUAGAGUCCGGAAGAGGAGAGUGGAACUCCUGGUGUAGCGGUGAAAUGCGCAGAUAUCAGGAAGAACACCCGUGGCUAAGGCGGCUCUCUAGUACGGUACUGACGCUGAGACGCGAAAGCGUGGGGAGCGAACAGG